Xenia sp. Carnegie-2017 is the source of this 579-nucleotide long non-coding RNA. RefSeq lists it as uncharacterized. The transcript is spliced from 3 exons. The record is from RefSeq and is a predicted model, not a curated record. Lineage: Eukaryota; Metazoa; Cnidaria; Anthozoa; Malacalcyonacea; Xeniidae.
UUUUGAGAUGAAUACUUUCCAAGGUAUUUUUCUUCCGUACGUAUUUACAAGCUUAUAAUGAAACGAAUGAAAUCACGUUAGACGAGAUUGAAAAAGUUAUUGACGAAGCUGACAGAUUGUCUCUUCUUUCUCAUUUCUUUUGGGCAAUGUUUUCAAUUCUUCAGAGUUAUAAAUCCUCGAUCAAUUUUGGUUAUCUCGUAAGUAGAUGAACAGUUAAAUAGUGUUGUUUACCGUUAGAUUUACAUCACGUGACUGAAUUUGGCUUUUUCUUUGUUGUAUUGUCGUACCGUGGUAUUGUAUCCUAAACACCAUUUGCUAUUUUUAAAAUACCAUAUCUUAUAAGGAACAUUCUACAUCGAACAAUCUUAGAAAUGUGCACCACCACUUCAUCAACUUUUUGCAUUUAGUGUGCGUUAUUUCUUUACAAACAUUUGUGUAAAUGCAUGGUCUUUUGCACCAAGUUCUUUCCAUGUGGAUUUGUUUAGAACAGAUGUUAGUCAGCAAUAUUGUCUUAUGCGUAUGUAUCAAACUUGUACAUAAUGAGCGCUAUCAUUGUGAACAAACGUAAAAGCAACGUAA